This 352-nucleotide unclassified non-coding RNA is filed under the name soil metagenome. Its description in RNAcentral is "partial contains 5.8S ribosomal RNA, internal transcribed spacer 2, and large subunit ribosomal RNA". The stretch from base 1 to 120 matches the Rfam family "5.8S ribosomal RNA", at positions 35 to 154 of the family's 154-position model. The record is from RNAcentral.
GAUGAAGAACGUAGCAAAAUGCGAUAAGUAAUGUGAAUUGCAGAAUUCAGUGAAUCAUCGAAUCUUUGAACGCACAUUGCGCCCGCCAGUAUUCUGGCGGGCAUGCCUGUUCGAGCGUCAUUACAACCCUCAGGCCCCCGGGCCUGGCGUUGGGGAUCGGCGGAGCCCCCCGUGGGCACACGCCGUCCCCCAAAUGCAGUGGCGGUCCCGCCGCAGCUUCCAUCGCGUAGUAGCUAACACCUCGCGACUGGAGAGCGGCGCGGCCACGCCGUAAAACACCCAACUCUUCUGAAGUUGACCUCGAAUCAGGUAGGAAUACCCGCUGAACUUAAGCAUAUCAAUAAGCGGAGGA